Molecule: ribosomal RNA, 315 nt
Filed under: uncultured bacterium
Lineage: Bacteria
Description: bacterial SSU rRNA
Rfam family: Bacterial small subunit ribosomal RNA
Source: RNAcentral
GAUGAACGCUGGCGGCGUGCUUAAUACAUGCAAGUCGAACGGAGGAUGUAGCAAUAUAUCUUUAGUGGCGAACGGGUGAGUAACGCGUUGGUGACCUGCCCCAAAGAGAGGGAUAACAGUUCGAAAGGACUGCUAAUACCGCAUGAGUUCACAGAGAUUGGAAGGCUGUGAAGAAAGGCGAAAGCCGCUUUGGGAGGGGCCUGCGUCCCAUCAGCUAGUUGGUAGGGUAACGGCCUACCAAGGCGAUGACGGGUAGGGGACCUGAGAGGGUGGCCCCCCACAAUGGAACUGAAACACGGUCCAUACACCUACGGG